UACAGAGGCCUCGAGCGUUAGGCGGAAUCACUGGGCUUAAAGCGUGUGUAGGUGGAUGCCUAAGUACCUUGUGAAAUCCCUCGGCUCAACUGAGGAACUGCCUUUGAAACUGUCUGGCUUGAGGCCGGGAGAGGGUAGCGGAAUUCCCAGUGUAGCGGUGAAAUGCGUAGAUAUCUGGAGGAACACCGGUGGCGAAGGCGGCAUCCUGGACCAACACUGACGCUGAGUGAGCGAAAGCCAGGGGAGCAAACGGG
RNAcentral lists this ribosomal RNA (254 nucleotides) under uncultured bacterium. RNAcentral's name for it is "partial 16S ribosomal RNA". It matches the Rfam family "Bacterial small subunit ribosomal RNA", at positions 524 to 776 of the family's 1533-position model. The record is from RNAcentral.